CACGUAGGGGGCGAGCGUUGUCCGGAUUUAUUGGGCGUAAAGAGCUCGUAGGCGGCUCGGUAAGUGAGGUGUGAAAACUCCAGGCUCAACCUAGAGACGCCACCUGAUACUGCCGUGGCUAGAGUCCGGUAGGGGAGCAUGGAAUUCCUGGUGUAGCGGUGAAAUGCGCAGAUAUCAGGAGGAACACCAGUGGCGAAGGCGGUGCUCUGGGCCGGAACUGACGCUGAGGAGCGAAAGCGUGGGGAGCAAACAGG
This 254-nucleotide ribosomal RNA is filed under the name uncultured bacterium. RNAcentral's name for it is "partial 16S ribosomal RNA". It matches the Rfam family "Bacterial small subunit ribosomal RNA", at positions 524 to 776 of the family's 1533-position model. The record is from RNAcentral.